AGGUUAAGUUAAUAAGGGCGCACGGUGGAUGCCUUGGCACUAGGAGCCGACGAAGGACGUGACAAACGACGAUAUGCCUUGGGUAGCUGUAAGUAAGCGAUGAUCCAGGGAUUUCCGAAUGGGGGAACCCAACAGGUAAUACCUGUUACCUACAUCUGUUAAGGAUGUGAGGAGGAAGACGCAGUGAACUGAAACAUCUAAGUAGCUGCAGGAAGAGAAAGCAAAAGCGAUUGCCUUAGUAGCGGCGAGCGAAACGGCAGAAGGGCAAACCGAAGAGUUUACUCUUCGGGGUUGUAGGACUGCAAUGUGGACUCAAAGAUUAUAGAAGAAUGAUUUGGGAAGAUCAGCCAAAGAGAGUAAUAGCCUCGUAUUUAAAAUAGUCUUUGUACUUAGCAGUAUCCUGAGUACGGCGGGACACGUGAAAUCCCGUCGGAAUCUGGGAGGACCAUCUCCCAACCCUAAAUACUCCCUAGUGACCGAUAGUGAACCAGUACCGUGAGGGAAAGGUGAAAAGCACCCCGGGAGGGGAGUGAAAUAGAACCUGAAACCGUGUGCCUACAACAAGUUCGAGCCCGUUAAUGGGUGAGAGCGUGCCUUUUGUAGAAUGAACCGGCGAGUUACGUUAUGAUGCGAGGUUAAGUUGAAGAGACGGAGCCGUAGGGAAACCGAGUCUGAAUAGGGCGCCUUAGUAUCAUGACGUAGACCCGAAACCAUGUGACCUACCCAUGAGCAGGUUGAAGGUGCGGUAAGACGCACUGGAGGACCGAACCAGGGCACGUUGAAAAGUGCUUGGAUGACUUGUGGGUAGCGGAGAAAUUCCAAACGAACUUGGAGAUAGCUGGUUCUCUCCGAAAUAGCUUUAGGGCUAGCGUCGACAUUAGAGAUUCUUGGAGGUAGAGCACUGUUUGGGUGAGGGGUCCAUCCCGGAUUACCAAUCUCAGAUAAACUCCGAAUGCCAAUGAAUUAUGGUCGGCAGUCAGACUGCGAGUGCUAAGAUCCGUAGUCGAAAGGGAAACAGCCCAGACCACCAGCUAAGGUCCCAAAAUAAUUGUUAAGUGGAAAAGGAUGUGGGGUUGCACAGACAACUAGGAUGUUAGCUUAGAAGCAGCUAUUCAUUCAAAGAGUGCGUAAUAGCUCACUAGUCGAGUGACCCUGCGCCGAAAAUGUACCGGGGCUAAAACAAUUUACCGAAGCUGUGGAUACCUUUAUAGGUAUGGUAGGAGAGCGUUCUAUGUGUGAUGAAGGUAUACCGUGAGGAGUGCUGGAACGCAUAGAAGUGAGAAUGCCGGUAUGAGUAGCGAAAGACAGGUGAGAAUCCUGUCCACCGUAAGACUAAGGUUUCCAGGGGAAGGCUCGUCCGCCCUGGGUUAGUCGGGACCUAAGGAGAGACCGAAAGGUGUAUCCGAUGGACAACAGGUUGAUAUUCCUGUACUAGAGUAUGUAGUGAUGGAGGGACGCAGUAGGCUAACUAAAGCAGACGAUUGGAAGAGUCUGUCUAAGCAGUGAGGUGUGAAUUGAGUCAAAUGCUUAAUUCUAUAACAUUGAGCUGUGAUGGGGAGCGAAGUUUAGUAGCGAAGUUAGUGACGUCACACUGCCAAGAAAAGCUUCUAGCGUUUAAACAUACUCUACCCGUACCGCAAACCGACACAGGUAGUCGAGGCGAGUAGCCUCAGGUGAGCGAGAGAACUCUCGUUAAGGAACUCGGCAAAAUGACCCCGUAACUUCGGGAGAAGGGGUGCUGACUUAAAGUCAGCCGCAGUGAAUAGGCCCAAGCAACUGUUUAUCAAAAACACAGCUCUCUGCUAAAUCGUAAGAUGAUGUAUAGGGGGUGACGCCUGCCCGGUGCUGGAAGGUUAAGAGGAGUGCUUAGCGUAAGCGAAGGUAUGAAUUGAAGCCCCAGUAAACGGCGGCCGUAACUAUAACGGUCCUAAGGUAGCGAAAUUCCUUGUCGGGUAAGUUCCGACCCGCACGAAAGGCGUAAUGAUUUGGGCACUGUCUCAACGAGAGACUCGGUGAAAUUUUAGUACCUGUGAAGAUGCAGGUUACCCGCGACAGGACGGAAAGACCCCAUGGAGCUUUACUGCAGUUUGAUAUUGAGUGUCUGUACCACAUGUACAGGAUAGGUAGGAGUCUAGGAGAUCGGGACGCCAGUUUCGAAGGAGACGCUGUUGGGAUACUACCCUUGUGUUAUGGCCACUCUAACCCAGAUAGGUGAUCCCUAUUGGAGACAGUGUCUGACGGGCAGUUUGACUGGGGCGGUCGCCUCCUAAAAGGUAACGGAGGCGCCCAAAGGUUCCCUCAGAAUGGUUGGAAAUCAUUCGCAGAGUGUAAAGGUAUAAGGGAGCUUGACUGCGAGAGCUACAACUCGAGCAGGGACGAAAGUCGGGCUUAGUGAUCCGGUGGUUCCGUAUGGAAGGGCCAUCGCUCAACGGAUAAAAGCUACCCUGGGGAUAACAGGCUUAUCUCCCCCAAGAGUUCACAUCGACGGGGAGGUUUGGCACCUCGAUGUCGGCUCGUCGCAUCCUGGGGCUGUAGUCGGUCCCAAGGGUUGGGCUGUUCGCCCAUUAAAGCGGCACGCGAGCUGGGUUCAGAACGUCGUGAGACAGUUCGGUCCCUAUCCGUCGCGGGCGUAGGAAAUUUGAGAGGAUCUGCUCCUAGUACGAGAGGACCAGAGUGGACUUACCGCUGGUGUACCAGUUGUCUUGCCAAAGGCAUCGCUGGGUAGCUAUGUAGGGAAGGGAUAAACGCUGAAAGCAUCUAAGUGUGAAACCCACCUCAAGAUGAGAUUUCCCAUGAUUAUAUAUCAGUAAGAGCCCUGAGAGAUGAUCAGGUAGAUAGGUUAGAAGUGGAAGUGUGGCGACACAUGUAGCGGACUAAUACUAAUAGCUCGAGGACUUAUCCAAA
RNAcentral lists this ribosomal RNA (2904 nucleotides) under Streptococcus pneumoniae. RNAcentral describes it as "bacterial LSU rRNA". It matches the Rfam family "Bacterial large subunit ribosomal RNA". The record is from RNAcentral. Lineage: Bacteria; Bacillati; Bacillota; Bacilli; Lactobacillales; Streptococcaceae.